GGGUUUAAAGGGUGCGUAGGCGGCCUGUUAAGUCAGGGGUGAAAGACGGUAGCUCAACUAUCGCAGUGCCCUUGAUACUGAUGGGCUUGAAUGUACUUGAGGUAGGCGGAAUGUGACAAGUAGCGGUGAAAUGCAUAGAUAUGUCACAGAACACCAAUUGCGAAGGCAGCUUACUAAAGUAUGAUUGACGCUGAGGCACGAAAGCGUGGGGAUCAAACAGGAUUAGAUACCCUGGUAGUCCACGCCCUAAACGAUGAACACUCGAUGUUGGCGAUAUACGGUCAGCGUCUAAGCGAAAGCGUUAAGUGUUCCACCUGGGGAGUACGCCCGCAAGGGUGAAACUCAAAGGAAUUGACGGGGGCCCGCACAAGCGGAGGAGCAUGUGGUUUAAUUCGAUGAUACGCGAGGAACCUUACCCGGGCUUGAAAGUUAGUGAAUGUGACAGAGACGUCACAGUUCUUCGGAACACGAAACUAGGUGCUGCAUGGCUGUCGUCAGCUCGUGCCGUGAGGUGUUGGGUUAAGUCCCGCAACGAGCGCAACCCCUAUGUUUAGUUGCCAGCAUUUAAGGUGGGGACUCUAAACAGACUGCCUAUGCAAAUAGAGAGGAAGGAGGGGACGACGUCAAGUCAUCAUGGCCCUUACGUCCGGGGCUACACACGUGCUACAAUGGGCAGUACAGAGGGCCGCUACCUGGCAACAGGAUGCCAAUCUCUUAAAGCUGUUCACAGUUCGGAUCGGGGUCUGCACUCGACCCCGUGAAGUUGGAUUCGCUAGUAAUCGCGUAUCAGCAUGACGCGGUGAAUACGUUCCCGGGUCUUGUACACACCGCCCGUC
This 836-nucleotide ribosomal RNA is filed under the name uncultured bacterium. RNAcentral describes it as "bacterial SSU rRNA". It matches the Rfam family "Bacterial small subunit ribosomal RNA", at positions 556 to 1398 of the family's 1533-position model. The record is from RNAcentral.